AGUGCAUCGUCUCCGGGGAGUCUUUGACUCAGCCUGUGCUGUCCAUUCACGUUCGAUCCUCAAAAUCCACCCAAAAUUACAGUGCAAAGACAUUUGCAUUAAUUUUAUGUGAAUAAUCAAUAACCCAGUAAUCACACCGAAUUGCCAGUGGCACAGUCUCGAAGAAGAUGGGGAGAUACAGAAGUCGAAGCAGAGAGCGCGAACGUCGGAGAAGAUCUAGGAGUCGCACCAGGAGUCGAUCACCUCGUGACAGGAGGGGAUGGGGUGGCGGAGGUGUCAGGGAUCGUGGGGGAGGUAAUCGAGGGGGUAGAAAUCAACCUGGAGCUAAUCUGAGGAAACCCAGGUGGGACAUGGGAAGGCUGGAGCCAUUCAAGAAGGAUUUUUAUAUUCCCUGUGAUGCUGUGAUCCAUCGGGAUCCCAGGAUCAUCGAGCAAUACAGGAGUCAGAAGGAGAUCACCCUCAGGGGCAAGAGUAUUCCCAAUCCAGUCUUCACUUUUGAUGAGGCCGGAUUUCCUGAUUAUGUCAUCAAGGAGAUCAAGAGACAAGGAUUCACGGAGCCAACGUCAAUCCAGGCCCAGGGCUGGCCAAUAGCUCUGAGUGGUCGUGACAUGGUGGGAAUAGCGUCAACGGGUUCAGGAAAGACCCUCUCGUAUAUUCUCCCAGCAAUAGUCCACAUAAAGAGUCAACCAAAACUGGGACGCAAGGAUGGACCAAUAGCUCUGGUGUUGGCACCAACUCGUGAGCUUGCCCAACAGAUUCAGCAAGUUGCUGAUGAUUUUGGUCACAGCUCUGGCAUCAGAAACACCUGUUUAUACGGUGGAGCGCCAAAAGGUGCCCAGGCACGUGAUCUCGAUGGCGGCGUUGAAAUUGUUAUCGCAACCCCUGGACGUCUACUGGAUUUCCUCGAAUCCGGAAGGACAAACCUGAAGAGAUGCACUUAUCUAGUGCUUGAUGAAGCUGACAGAAUGCUAGACAUGGGAUUUGAGCCCCAGAUAAGAAAAAUCAUUGAGCAGAUAAGACCUGACAGGCAGACCCUCAUGUGGUCAGCGACUUGGCCGAAAGAGGUGAAGAAUCUGGCUGAGGAUUUCUUGAAGGAUUAUGCACAGAUCAACGUUGGAUCUCUCCAGUUGUCCGCCAAUCAUAAUAUUCUACAAAUCAUCGAUGUCUGUGCGGAGUACGAGAAGGAGAACAAACUCAGUACACUCCUGAAAGAGAUAAUGGCCGAGCAAGAGAACAAGACAAUCGUAUUUAUCGAAACAAAACGUCGAGUUGAGGAAAUCACCCGGAAAAUGAAACGUGACGGUUGGCCAGCUGUAUGCAUUCACGGUGACAAGACCCAACAGGAGAGAGAUUGGGUAUUACAAGAUUUCAGGUCUGGUAAAGCUCCAAUUCUCGUAGCAACUGACGUGGCAGCACGAGGACUAGAGGCACAUUGCGCGCAGGCCCACGCCGGUUAAUGCAAAACUACGAAAGAUAUUAAUUGCCACUGAGAAAACAAUCAUAUCCUGGGUGUUCGGGAAUAUGUUAGCGGUGUGGUUUUGUCAAUAACGACCGCAUUAAACAUCCCGCUCGGUCUUCCCAAGGCGAUUGAUCAUGGCUUUGAACCGAAACCAUCCAAGUUUGCAUUGUCUGCGGUGGCUGCUGCGCGUGCCUCUCUUAUCACGUACAAUUCACCGCGAGAUAUAGGGGAGAGUGAUAAUGUGUGUCACGAGUGUUGAUCUCCAACAAUCAUCGAAAUAAACCUCGAUGGAUUAAUAUACGUAAUGAUAAUGGGAUAGAGACCACCGAGAAGGUAAUACCUAACGUCUUUCAUCCCCCUCCAAAUUAUCCUGAGGUGAUUACGAGGUGAUUAUGAGCUGAUUACGAGAUGAUUACGAGAUGAUUACGAGGUGAUUAUGGGGGAAUAAUCAUCGUGGUGUUCAUUCAACACCGUUACAACAAUUAUCAUGGUCAUUUGGUAAUUGUCGAGUUAAAACCAAAACAAUAGAGAGGAAAAAUGUGUGAGAGCAUUGAAGGCGUAUUGUUAUUGCCUAGAUGGGAUUUAUACCAGGUCUCUACUUGUACGUGGGAGAUGGGGUCUGGUGGGGGAUGGUGGAGAUGUCAUUUCCCAUCCCUCACUAACACAACACAAACACACGGGGUUGCAAUUAGCAACCAAUUAGUGGGCACGCCGAGGCUGAUGGGUACCUGAGCUAAAACGAAUACAGCCUGGCGACUGCCAUCCGUACGUUGCUAUCGACAAUUCGCCCGAUGACAUUUAUUUAACGUUGAAGACGUCAAGUUUGUUAUAAACUUUGACUAUCCAUCGUGUUCCGAAGACUAUGUACAUCGAAUUGGACGUACUGGUCG
Fopius arisanus is the source of this 2349-nucleotide RNA transcript. It is a transcript of the gene named probable ATP-dependent RNA helicase DDX17, with no coding region annotated. The transcript is spliced from 7 exons. Lineage: Eukaryota; Metazoa; Arthropoda; Insecta; Hymenoptera; Braconidae. The record is from RefSeq and is a predicted model, not a curated record.